UCCAGACUCCUACGGGAGGCAGCAGUGAGGAAUAUUGGUCAAUGGCCGAGAGGCUGAACCAGCCAAGUCGCGUGAGGGAAUAAGUCCCUACGGGUCGUAAACCUCUUUUGCCGGGGAGCAAGGGCGGGGACGUGUCCCGGCCCGGAGAGUACCCGGAGAAAAAGCAUCGGCUAACUCCGUGCCAGCAGCCGCGGUAAUACGGAGGAUGCGAGCGUUAUCCGGAUUUAUUGGGUUUAAAGGGUGCGUAGGCGGACGCUUAAGUCAGCGGUAAAAUUGCGGGGCUCAACCUCGUCGAGCCGUUGAAACUGGGUGCCUUGAGUGGGCGAGAAGUACGCGGAAUGCGUGGUGUAGCGGUGAAAUGCAUAGAUAUCGCGCAGAACUCCGAUUGCGAAGGCAGCAUGCCGGCUCCACACUGACGCUGAGGCACGAAAGCGUGGGUAUCGAACAGGAUUAGAUACCCCGGUA
RNAcentral lists this ribosomal RNA (465 nucleotides) under uncultured bacterium. RNAcentral's name for it is "bacterial SSU rRNA". It matches the Rfam family "Bacterial small subunit ribosomal RNA", at positions 330 to 792 of the family's 1533-position model. The record is from RNAcentral.